AUUGAACGCUGGCGGCAGGCCUAACACAUGCAAGUCGAGCGGAUGAGGGGAGCUUGCUCCUGGAUUCAGCGGCGGAUGGGUGAGUAAUGCCUAGGAAUCUGCCUGGUAGUGGGGGAUAACGUCCGGAAACGGGCGCUAAUACCGCAUACGUCCUGAGGGAGAAAGUGGGGGAUCUUCGGACCUCACGCUAUCAGAUGAGCCUAGGUCGGAUUAGCUAGUUGGUGGGGUAAAGGCCUACCAAGGCGACGAUCCGUAACUGGUCUGAGAGGAUGAUCAGUCACACUGGAACUGAGACACGGUCCAGACUCCUACGGGAGGCAGCAGUGGGGAAUAUUGGACAAUGGGCGAAAGCCUGAUCCAGCCAUGCCGCGUGUGUGAAGAAGGUCUUCGGAUUGUAAAGCACUUUAAGUUGGGAGGAAGGGCAGUAAGUUAAUACCUUGCUGUUUUGACGUUACCAACAGAAUAAGCACCGGCUAACUUCGUG
Molecule: ribosomal RNA, 484 nt
Filed under: uncultured bacterium
Lineage: Bacteria
Description: partial 16S ribosomal RNA
Rfam family: Bacterial small subunit ribosomal RNA
Source: RNAcentral